Molecule: RNA transcript, 7464 nt
Organism: Synchiropus splendidus (mandarinfish)
Lineage: Eukaryota; Metazoa; Chordata; Actinopteri; Syngnathiformes; Callionymidae
Gene: sema5a
Gene name: sema domain, seven thrombospondin repeats (type 1 and type 1-like), transmembrane domain (TM) and short cytoplasmic domain, (semaphorin) 5A
Exons: 23
Source: RefSeq, a predicted model, not a curated record
UGACAGCCACUCGUGUUGUAAAGCUCGCACCAAGUCUUUGUUCAAGAUCAAGGCAAAGUUUACUUGUCGCGGCUUCUACGCACCUCCUCUCUCCCUCCCGCCGCGAGGAGGCAAAUACUCUGCGGCGCAGCAGCUUCAGUGUCCGGUUACAGCGGCGAGGAGUCACCGGCGAACACGCUCCGCACUGGGAGACAACCAGCGCGGUCUCUCAGACUCAGGACUCUCUGUGAUCGUUACCUCGGACAGGGAGGGUAUUUCGCCGCAGCUGGUUCAAUAUUUCGGUCCAUUCUUGACCGGGACGAGACGCAGCGCUUCAGAUUGAACUAGAUGACCAGAAGCUUGGAGCCUCGUUCGGUUUCUUUCUCCAAUGUUUCUGGCCCCUGAGGCCUGAGGGGAAGUGAGCCAAGCCCAGGCCCCCAUGGGACACCUCGGUACUCAGCAUGCGCUGCUGCUGCUGCAGUGCGUGCUGGCCCUGUGGCCUGGCGCUGCUGUCAGCCGGAGAGGUCCCGUGCUCCUGCCCGAAUCCCCCUGUUACAAGACGGAGCACCCACUCGUUCCACACUCAGAAAUGGAGCCGUGGAUCUUCAGGUUCAAGGCUGAAGGCACAGUGGAUUACUCCCAGCUGACCUUCGAUCCUGGACAGAAUGAACUGAUUGUUGGUGCAAGGAAUCACCUCUUCAGGCUGAACCUGGAGGACCUGACUCUGAUCCAGGAGGCGGAGUGGCAGUGUGAUGAGUUCACCAAGGGAGCCUGCUUCAGUCGAGGAAAGUCUGAGGAGGAAUGCCAGAACUACAUCAGGGUGCUGCUGGUCAACGGGAACAGGCUGUUUACCUGCGGAACCAACGCCUUCACGCCCAUCUGCACCAACAGAACGCUCACCAAUAUAACAGAGAUCCACGAUCAGAUCAGUGGCAUGGCUCGCUGUCCCUACAACCCCCUGCACAACUCCACGGCACUCAUCACCUCCAGCGGCGAACUGUAUGCCGCCACAGCCAUGGACUUCUCUGGCAGAGACCCGGCAAUCUACCGCAGCCUGGGCGGACUUCCUCCUUUACGGACGGCCCAGUACAACUCCAAGUGGCUCAAUGAACCCAACUUUGUCUCCUCCUACGAUAUUGGGAACUUCACUUACUUCUUUUUCCGAGAAAAUGCUGUGGAGCAUGACUGCGGCCGGACAGUGUUUUCUCGAGCUGGACGUGUCUGCAAAAAUGACAUCGGCGGCCGCUUUCUCCUGGAAGACACCUGGACGACCUUCAUGAAAGCUCGGCUGAACUGUUCCCGGCCCGGAGAAAUUCCUUUCAACUACAACGAGCUACAGGGAACGUUCUACCUUCCAGAGCUCGAGCUGCUUUAUGGCAUCUUCACAACCAAUGUGAACAGCAUUGCUGCAUCUGCUGUCUGUGCCUUCAAUCUCAGUGCCAUUACACAAGUUUUCAAUGGGCCCUUCAAAUACCAGGAGAACUCGCGGUCCGCUUGGCUGCCUUAUCCCAACCCAAACCCGAACUUCCAGUGUGGAACCAUCGACUCUGGCUCCUACGUGAACCUGACGGAGAGAAACUUGCAAGAUGCGCAAAAGUUCUUGCUCAUGCACGAGGUGGUCCAACCUGUGGUCACCGUGCCGUACUUCAUGGAGGACAACGUUCGCUUCAGUCACGUGGCGGUGGACGUGGUGCAGGGGAAAGACAUGCUGUUUCACAUCAUCUAUUUGGCCACAGAUUACGGCACCAUCAGAAAAGUGCUCUCCCCGCUAAAUCAGUCCACCGGCAGCUGCCUAUUGGAAGAGAUUGAGCUUUUCCCACCGAGGAAGAGGCAGCCGAUCCGGAGCCUGCUGAUUCUCCACAGCCGCAGCGAGCUCUACGUGGGUGUGAGGGACCAGGUCAUCAAGAUCCCCCUCAAGAGGUGCAGCUACCACAAGAGCAGAGAUGCGUGCGUUGGGGCCAGAGACCCCUACUGUGGUUGGGAUCUCCUUCUGAAGAAAUGCACCACGUUGGAGGAGAGUGUACGAAUGAGCCAGUGGGAGCAAAGCAUCACAAAAUGUCCCGUCCGAAACGUGACGGUGGACGGAGGUUUUGGUGGAUGGUCAGGGUGGUCUACAUGCAAUCAUAAUGAUGGCGGCAGCACCGGGUCGUGUCUCUGUCGAACCCGGGCCUGUGAUAACCCGGCUCCUCAGUGUGGAGGACAGAAGUGCCAGGGGGUCAGCGUGGAGGUUGCCAACUGCUCAAGGAACGGAGCCUGGACGCCCUGGACUUCCUGGUCUCCCUGUAGCACCAGCUGCGGCAUUGGCUUUCAGGUGCGGCAGCGUUCCUGCAGCAACCCGACCCCACGCCACGGCGGGCGAGUGUGCGUGGGCCAAAAUCGUGAGGAAAGGUACUGCAACGAACACCUGCCCUGCCCGCCUCACACCUACUGGUCGGCCUGGUCGGCAUGGGAACGCUGCAACGUGCCUUGUGGUGGAGGGAUCCAGUCCCGACGCAGAACCUGUGAGAAUGGCAUUGACUGUCCCGGGUGUGGUCAGGAGUACCAGUCUUGCAACACCAUGCCUUGCCCUGACCUGAAGAAGACAACACCCUGGACGCCAUGGACCCCGGUCAACAUCUCAGACCAUGGCGGCCAUUACGAGCAGCGUUUCCGCUACACUUGCAAGGCCCGGGUGCCAGACGCUGGCCUGCUGGAAGUGGGUCGACAGAGGAUCGAGAUGCGCUACUGCUCCAGUGAUGGGUCAACUGGCUGCUCAACCGAUGGUGAGGUUCUUCGUCUGGGUCGAAUGUCAGGCCACACGGUAAAUGGCGGGUGGUCGUCCUGGAGCUCCUGGUCUCAGUGCAGCAGAGACUGCAGUCGAGGGAUCCGCAGCAGAAAGAGGACCUGCAACAACCCAGAGCCCAAACAUGGUGGGCAAGCAUGUCUCGGGCCUCCACAGGAGUUUCAGGAGUGUAACAUCACACCUUGUCCCGUGGAUGGCAGCUGGUCCUGCUGGUCUUCAUGGUCCAAGUGUUCCGUGACAUGUGGAGGAGGGCACUACAUGAGGACCCGGACCUGCAGUAACCCUCCGCCUGCUCACGGAGGAGACAUCUGCUUGGGCCUGCACACUGAGGAGGCGCUGUGCAACACACAAGCAUGUCCAGAGAGCUGGUCCAGCUGGUCGGGGUGGACUCACUGUGACUCCAACGGGGCCCAGAUGCGUGUCCGUCACUGCGACGUCCUGUUUCCUACUGGAAAUCAGUGCGCAGGAAACAGCAGCGAGAGCCGGCCGUGCUCUCCAGACUCCAAUGUCAUCCCAGAAAUCUCAAUUGCACGUUCCAGUCAGGAGGAGAGGCACUGUGGAGACUUCAACAUCUUCCACAUGAUCGCUGUCGGCCUCAGCAGCUCCAUCCUCGGGUGCCUGGUCACCCUGCUGGUCUACUCGUACUGCCAACGCUACCAGCAGCAGUCACACGACGCCACCGUUAUUCACCCGAUAUCAGCUGCUCCGCUCAACACAAGCAUCACCAACCACAUCAACAAGCUGGACAAAUACGACUCUGUGGAAGCCAUCAAGCCUGACGUGUCGGUACUCUUGCCCCUGGAUGACCCCACCCUGCACCAGCCUCUCUCUGCUAACAUGGGGGUGUCCAUGCGUGGCUUGGAGAUAUUCUACUAACCACUGACCUCAACAAACCCCCCACUUCUCCACUCCCCCAACAACAACUUUCUGACCCCAACCUCUGCUACAUCCACUUCCCCAAUGUGCCCCACUCCCCCACCUUCCUGUGGCAUUUGCUGUCUGUGGCAGGCCUUCAACAAAAACAACCUUAUUCUGGAAGAAAGGAACAAGUACUUCAACCCACAGCACAGCGGGAAGACCUACACCAACGCCUACUUCACUGACCUCAACACCUACGAUGACUAUUAAAGACGCUGUGGACAAGUGACCGAGCUGACCAUUUUCUUGUGCUUUGUAUUGAGAUUUGAGACACCACCUGUGGGAUCCUCUCUGAAACUCUCAGACUCUCGGUGGAAACUGACGCACAGUCCAGUCGGCAGAGGGAAGUACCCGCUUUCUCUCAGGUGCCUUGGGGAACACUCAAUUUCAAUUUUAGGAAGGAGAUACUGCCUUGACUGUCAAUGAAUAUUUCUUAAUGUGGACGAUAAAGUGGGCGAAAUGGAAGGCCUUUCCCUUUCCCGUUUGCUGUGCCGCCUCUGAAGCGGCUGCGUAUUUGUGAGGAAGAAAGGCAACUUCCCCGAAGGUUUUUGCAUGACUCCAUCUGACUGCUCAUCUUUUUAAUUUUGCAUGAAACCCAGCAUUCCACUUUAUGGAUCAUUUGUUGGUCUGUUUAUGUUGUUUAAAAAAAGGUCUGAGGGCUUUUACUUUGAAAAGUUUCUUUCAUAAACAUCCUCCCUAGGUCUUUGUACUGCGAUGUAGAUAAUUAGGGUCAUUUUGUUCUGUUCUUUUCAGAAUACUGCUGCAAGCAGUGUACGACGGUCGGUUUAUUUUUUACAGCUCUGAAGGUCGUGUACAGAAAGUUUUCUCCGAACUUUUUUAUGUGAAUACAUUUCUCCGUAUCUCGUGUCAAAGAAUGUGUAUUCCAAAAAUUUCAAUCGAAAUCCUACAGUAUGAGCUACUUUUUUCAACAUUGUGUGCAAUUGUUAAAUGGGCUACAGCGCAUUUGUGGUGGAGAGAUUUGAUUUGAUCCCUGAACUUAAGCUUCUCGUGUAAUGAAAACUGAGUCUCAUUGGUUCAUCUGGUAAUUCGGUGGUUCAGUUUGGACUAACCCUUUUUACAUUUUUGCUUGUCUUAUUGUGCAAAAAUUAAACUCCUCUUGGUACAAAACACUCUGGUUUCACUGGAGUAUCACAGAUUCACUGAUGAAUAUUUUGAGUGCUGAAUUGAGGAGGUCGGUUUCACAAAUACAUCAAAGGUCCCUUGUUUGAAGGUUUCUCUCAUGUUACGGAGGCUCUGAACUGCCAUGGUAAGUUUUUUUUAUUUAUGUAUUAUCUAAUUCAGAUGAGAUAAUUAUUACGUUCGUACGACAAAAAAACACGUUCAUACAAGAUCAUUAUGUGGAAUUAACGGUUAUGUUUAACAGACAUGAGUUUCAAACUUUAUCAUCCUGGAGCUUCUUGAUAUGGUCUUCUGAAAGUCUAUCAUGUCCGUUCAUUGAGAAGCAGGUGCUGUCGGAGCAUCAGCUCGGCGAUCUCUGGUCAUCCCGCAUCCAAUUUAUGAACGUGUUUUUUCACGUACAAACGUAAUAAUUACCUUGUGCGAACAUGUUUUUUUCUCAUACAAAACAUAAUAAUUAGCUCACACGAAUGAGAUAAUACAUAAAUAAAAAUAACUUACCAUGGCAGUUCAGAGCUUCCGUAGUAUGUGACCCUCUGUUCACCUCUUUUAUUUGUCGUUCACCAUAACUGCUGACCAUAAAAUACACAUCACUGUAACUGCAAGAAAAAAGGGCAUCAGCGCUCUUUGAUUCUACUGUGGGACCUGUGUGUCCCACAAAGAAGGAGAGGUUCCCGAAGGGCCUGAGCUUGUGGUCAUGAAGUGUAUGGAACAAGCAAAAGGAAAUGGAUAGAUGCCAUUUUUCAUAAGUGAAAUCAUAAGCGUUUUAUAUCUAAGUUUAUAUCUACAUGGCGAUCAGCCAGAAGUUUGAUGGUUGGGAUCUGUCUUGGAGAAUCAACGAUGAACUAAGUCAUCAGGCCUCUGUUUCAUGAAGACUAUUUUGCUCGGGCCCCGGGGGCUGAGUCAUUUUAUGUGGCCCGCAAGAGCUUUAAAAACCUAUUGUGGAGUUUAAACUCGAUCAUUUUAAGUACACCAUAAAUACUGAGACACCAUGUCACAGUCCACAGUACUGAGGUGUGACUGUCAGAGCAUUUUGUUUCAACUCGCAUUUGCUUUUCAACACUCUUGGAUGAAUAAAUCCUGGUGACCGCAGACUCAGUUUAAAGUUUUAGUCCCCUGUGAGGCUGUUCUUUAGUCUCCUUUCUUCCCAUUUAUUUGCUAUGCCUCUGACUCCUUUUCCAGAAACUCAGAAAGUAUUUUUUAUCCAAAUUCUCAUCAAUUGAAUAUAUUUUGUGUUCAUAAUAGUGAUUUUUUUUCUCAUCUUUGCCCGUCUGCAUCUUAAGGAUUCAAAGAAAAUUUCACGAAACUGCAGUCCUUCCUCUGCAACAUAUCUGUUUCAAUUACACCAAAAACACAGUAAACAUGCACCACGGAUUCAUAAGUCACUCAACCCUGAGUAAAGGACUCCCUCAACCCUAUAAAGGGUCUUUGGAGGGUCUCUGCAGUGACAAAUAGCAUUGGCAGUGGUGAAAGGGCACCUGAAGGAAAGAAAUAAAGAGAGUCAGGGGGUAAAGGUGAAGCAGGCUACCAUCUGAAGUGUAAACUCUCAUCUGAGCGAUGGAAAGUGGCAGCCCACACCAAGCUGUGCUCCAUCAACCUUAAACCUGAAGGCACGCAUCUGUGCUUCGGCGCCGAUAAGAGGUGGGCCGUUCAUCAAGCAGCCCGAUGUACGUUCAGCACCAGGGAACCCACCCCUCCUCACCCACUGGCACACGCCGUACUUUCUUUAGGUCUGAGCCACCAACCAGCGCUACUCCGCAGCAAUGCAGCAACACUUAAUGCAGAAGAUACACAGUUUUGCAAGAUAGAUUGUGAGGUCUGCAGCUAGCUCACAUUGCUACUCCACCAGCGUAGUAUGUAAAGUAGUUGCACACAGACUAGCAUGAUCACACUAAAGCGCACACACACACACAGCUUGGCAGCAGAUGUUUGCAGCUCAUCUGCAGCCAGGCACUUGUGACAUUCCACUCUGACAGGUGAGCUCAGGAGAAUAAAUGACUCUUCCACAGCGGCAUUUUGGAUCUGCCAAAGGUCGCAGUUAAAGGGUGUGAGAGUAGAACUCGCGUAUGACAGAUCAGAGUGCUUGCAUGUGCGUGAAGAAGUCGCAAGGUGGUGAGAUGUGACAUCGAGGCUUUAUCACUGUGUAGUGUGGGUGUGUGUGUGAGAAUGCAAUUGAGCUGGAUGUAGUCAAGCGGCACAUCGUGCGUCUCUGAGUGUCAAUAUUGGGUCACAUUUUGACACUUCUCAAUAUCAGACCCUCUUGAGGCUGUGUUGGAUUUUCAAUACGGAACACAUACUGUUGUGUGAGGCUGAUAAUAACAGACAGGUUCAGACGCUGGGUGCCAGAAUGUGGGUACAGAAAUCUGUCCUUUCUCUUCUGGAGCAUCAUUAUUCACCAACUUUUACUUUCUGUUACUAUUAGGGCUGGGACGAUAUACAUUUUGCCAGAUUCAGUAUUUUUCCUGAUACCUGGGAGCCGAUUCUAUUUACUAGUAACAUCCGACUUACGACCUGCUGCGACCAGCAUCUCACUCUCACACAGCGAUCUACCACGACAGUAGGACCUAUAACCCCUGCGUCAGCUAUUUUGAAUGGCAUUCGAUAUACGUCCGAUGUGACUUACAACCGGUUGGGGUGUUACUUGUAUA